Molecule: ribosomal RNA, 399 nt
Filed under: Metromonas sp.
Lineage: Eukaryota; Cercozoa; Imbricatea; Metromonadea
Description: partial small subunit ribosomal RNA
Rfam family: Eukaryotic small subunit ribosomal RNA
Source: RNAcentral
AUUCCAGCUCCAGUAGCGUAUAUUAUUACUGUUGUAGUUAAAAAGCUCGUAGUUGAAUAUCUGGCGUUGGGAAGCCCUGCCCGCCGCGAUUCGCGUGUGAGUUGUGGGGCGUCCCCGCCAUCCUGUGUGGGAGCCCGCCUACCCUUCAUUGGGCCGGGCGGUGCGAGCACACUCAGUUACUUUGAGAAAAUCUGCGCGUUCAAAGCAGGCACACGCUAUGAAAGCUUCAGCAUGGAAUAACAAGAUAGGACCUGGGUCUCUAUUUUGUUGGUUUCUAGGAUCGAGGUGAUGAUUGAUAGGGACAGUUGGGGGUGCUUGUAUUUAACGGCCAGAGGUGAAAUUCUUGGAUUCGUUAAAGACAAACUACUGCGAAAGCAUUCACCAAGGAUGUCUUCAUUA